RNAcentral lists this signal recognition particle RNA (287 nucleotides) under Saimiri boliviensis boliviensis (Bolivian squirrel monkey). RNAcentral describes it as "Metazoan signal recognition particle RNA (ENSSBOG00000012531.1)". It matches the Rfam family "Metazoan signal recognition particle RNA". Rfam says of the family: The signal recognition particle (SRP) is a universally conserved ribonucleoprotein. The record is from Rfam by way of RNAcentral. Lineage: Eukaryota; Metazoa; Chordata; Mammalia; Primates; Cebidae.
GCAGGGAGCGGUGGUGCAGGCCUGUAGUUUCAGCUACUCAGAGGCGCAGGCAGGAGGAACGCUCAAGCCCAGGAGUUCUAGGCUGCAGUACGCUAUGCCCAUCAGGUGUCCACACUCAGUUCGGGAUCAAUACGGUGACUUCCUGGGAGCAGGGACCACCAGGUUGCCUAAAGAGGGGUGAACUGACCCAGGUCAGAAAAGGAGCAGGUCAAAAAAUACAAGUAAGAGCAAGUAAAGACAGGGCUUAGAACUCAGUUCAGGGUCCAAGGUAUGCCUUUGUGCCUGCU